GCAGUAUCCUAACUGUGCUAAGGUAGCAUAAUCAUUAGUCUUUUAAUUGGAGACUGGUAUGAAUGGCUUAACGAGAAAUUGACUUUUUUUGCUAUUAUAAUUGAAUUUAAUUUUUUAGUGAAAAAGCUAAAAUGUUUCAGAAAGACGAGAAGACCCUAUAGAGUUUUAUAUAAAUUUAUAUCUUUUCUUAAUAGAUUUAAAAAGAAUAAAUAUAAAUAAGUAUUUUGUUGGGGCGACAUUAAGAUAAAUAAAACUCUUUAUUUUUAAAAAUUUUUAUGAAAAUAUUUAUGAUCCUUUAAAAGAGAUCAAAAGAAAAAAUUACCUUAGGGAUAACAGCGUAAUCUUUUUUUAGAGUUCUAAUCGACAAAAAGGUUUGCGACCUCGAUGUUGGACUAAAAUUUAGGCAGGGUGCAGCAGUUCUGCUUUUAGGUCUGUUCGACCUAUA
This 445-nucleotide ribosomal RNA is filed under the name Cantellius sp. 1 MM-2014. RNAcentral describes it as "partial 16S ribosomal RNA". It matches the Rfam family "Bacterial large subunit ribosomal RNA", at positions 1933 to 2590 of the family's 2925-position model. The record is from RNAcentral. Lineage: Eukaryota; Metazoa; Arthropoda; Thecostraca; Balanomorpha; Pyrgomatidae.